This 254-nucleotide ribosomal RNA is filed under the name uncultured bacterium. RNAcentral's name for it is "partial 16S ribosomal RNA". It matches the Rfam family "Bacterial small subunit ribosomal RNA", at positions 524 to 776 of the family's 1533-position model. The record is from RNAcentral.
UACGUAGGGUGCGAGCGUUGUCCGGAAUUACUGGGCGUAAAGGGCGCGUAGGCGGCCAGCACAAGUCAGUUGUGAAAUCUCCGAGCUUAACUCGGAGCGGUCAACUGAUACUGUGCGGCUAGAGUGCGGAAGGGGCAACUGGAAUUCUUGGUGUAGCGGUGAAAUGCGUAGAUAUCAAGAGGAACACCUGCGGCGAAGGCGGGUUGCUGGGCUGACACUGACGCUGAUGCGCGAAAGCCAGGGGAGCGAACGGG